This 20-nucleotide microRNA is filed under the name Bos taurus (domestic cattle). RNAcentral's name for it is "bta-miR-11975". Lineage: Eukaryota; Metazoa; Chordata; Mammalia; Artiodactyla; Bovidae. The record is from miRBase by way of RNAcentral.
GGCGGCGGCGGCGCCGGGGC